Molecule: ribosomal RNA, 497 nt
Filed under: uncultured bacterium
Lineage: Bacteria
Description: partial 16S ribosomal RNA
Rfam family: Bacterial small subunit ribosomal RNA
Source: RNAcentral
GAUGAACGCUGGCGGCGUGCCUAAUACAUGCAAGUCGAGCGAACGGACGAGAAGCUUGCUUCUCUGAUGUUAGCGGCGGACGUGUUAUUAACACGUUGAUAACCUACCUAUAAGACUGGGAUAACUUCGGGAAACCGGAGCUAAUACCGGAUAAUAUUUUGAACCUCUUGGUUCAAACGUGAAAGACGGUCUUGCUGUCACCUAUAGAUGGAUCCGCGCUGCAUUAGCUAGUUGGUAAGGUAACGGCUUACCAAGGCAACGAUGCAUAGCCGACCUGAGAGGGUGAUCGGCAACACUGGAACUGAGACACGGUCCAGACUCCUACGGGAGGCAGCAGUAGGGAAUCUUCCGCAAUGGGCGAAAGCCUGACGGAGCAACGCCGCGUGAGUGAUGAAGGUCUUCGGAUCGUAAAACUCUGUUAUUAGGGAAGAACAUAUGUGUAAGUAACUGUGCAAAUCUUGACGGUACCUAAACAGAAAGCAACGGCUAACUACGUG